Phymastichus coffea is the source of this 4100-nucleotide RNA transcript. It is a transcript of the gene named intraflagellar transport protein 70A, with no coding region annotated. The transcript has 4 exons. The record is from RefSeq and is a predicted model, not a curated record. NCBI's taxonomy places the organism in Eukaryota, Metazoa, Arthropoda, Insecta, Hymenoptera, Eulophidae.
CAGUGUAUAAAUAAAAUAAGUGCUGUGGUUUUGCGACUAUUUUUUGAACGCUCACCCGUGUAGUUUGGAACUGACAGCAAAAGUUUAUUCUUGAAAAACGUAGAAAUAAGAAUGGACGCUUCGACAAGUGCCUGUGUCAAUUAUUAAAGUCGGAAAUUGGUACCAUUAAUUAAAUUGAAUGAAGUGAAAAUACGAUGUUGAUUGCUCUCAGUACUACGUACAUCUGAUAUACUGUAUAGCUAUAUAUCGGAAAUGGAAAAGAUACGGAUACUCGCGCAGACAAAAUAAUCGCGUCUAUCGUCUGGCUGCUAGCAGUAACGCGUCGCCACCGUAAUAUCGUGGCACCGUGCAUUGGCAGACCAUCACGUCACCCUUUAAUGCAGACACGCGACGCGAGACGCAGGCACGGCGGCGACGUGCAGCGGCAACGGCUGUCGCAGUCGUCAGUAAAGAGGUCCACCUACCCUGUAUCAUUAUUGUUCUCAGCAACAACAAUCUUGUACGUCACGAAAUGCGUUCUUAGAGCCAGAAGUCACUUCUCGGCGAUGCUGUUGAUCGUUUUACUUUGAGAAGUUUUGAAAAUGUAUUGAAAUAUAAUUUCAAUAAUUUCCUGUUAUAAACAAAAUUGCUGCAUAAAUAAACUUAUAUUAUUCAAAUAAGCAGCUUUUUUGAUAUCUAAUAUUUAUUAAAAGCACAGCUGAAUCUUGAGAUAUUAAUAUGUUUAUAAGAAGACUUUCUGAAAAUUGAAAACUAUUUAAAGCCUUGAUUACUUAUUAAGUAAAUAAUUCAUAUUAAAAUGAAUAUAAAAUUUCAAGUUCAUUGAAAAAGAAAGGAAUUCGUCAUGGACAAUGAUUAUGAUUAUGAGAUCUGUAAUUUUAUUAGAAAGGGAAAAUUAGAUAAAGUGAAAAAGACUAUUGCAUUAGUUGGAUUAUCAUAUUCAAAAACAUGGCAAAGUGGAUACAUGCUGCUAUACUGGUCUCUAUGUUAUCAUCACACAAACAUAGCAAAAUGGCUUCUUACACAAAAUUGUCAAGUCAAUCCAGAGAAUCAAAGGUUUACACAGAAGACAGUUCUACAUUUAGCCAUUUGUUUAGGAAAAGUUGAAAUUGUCAAGAUGCUUUUGAAAAAAGGAGCUUCAGUUACUGUUUGCAAUGAUCGUUUGGAGACACCUUUACAUGUAAGUUGCAAGAAACGAAAGCCAGAGGUAUUAUUGAAAAAUGACAUGGUAAACAUAAUCAAAUUGCUUUUAAAACAUGGAGCACCAGUAAAUGCCAAAGGUGGUUUAUGCAAUGAAACACCUCUACUGUUUGCUAUGAAAAAUAAAUACCAAUGUGAAAAGAUUGUAAAAUUACUUUUGAGUAAUGGAGCAAAUGUUAAUGAUUAUGAUAUGUAUCGCAAAACAGCUCUUCAUAUUGCUGUAGAAAAUGGAGAUAAAAAGAUGAUCAAACUUCUUCUUGAGCACAAGGCAGAUGUCAAUGUCAAAAAUUGUAAUGGUCACACACCACUGCAUAUAGCUGUUCGAAGACAAAGUGCCGAUAUUACCAAAAUGCUGUUAUUUAGUGGAGCUGAUGUAAACGACAUGGUUUAUGGUUUUGAUGAGUACCGUUGGACAGCUUUACAUAUAGCAGUGAAGAAUAAGGAUGAAAAGAUCAUUAAAAUGUUGUUAGAAUUCAAAGCAAAUGUUAAUGCUAAAGAAGACCAUUACAGAACUCCUUUACACAUUGCUUCUGUCAGUCAUUGCCCAGAAAUAGCAAGAAUACUUUUAGCAUCUGGAGCUGAUGUAAAUGAUGCUGAUAAGCAAGGUCAGAUACCAUUUCAUCUCGCGAUUCGAAUUGAAGAUGAAAAAAUGGUUGAAUUUUUAUUGGAGCAUAAUGCCAAUAUUCAUGCAAAACGCAAAGAUGGCAAAAGUUGUUUGCAUUUCGCUGCCGAGAAUCGUUCUGCGAUUAUCGCUAAAAUUUUGUUAAAUAGAGGCGCUAAUAUAAACGAUAGAACUUUAGACGGUCACACAGUACUUCAUUUUGCCGCGAAAAAAGGAUCUAUGGAAUUAGUUGCUUUGUUUUUAAAGUUAGGUAUGGACGUCGAUGUUAAAACUAAUGUUGAUAAUUUUACGCCGCUGUAUUAUGCUGUUAAAAAACGUCAUUAUCAAGUAGCUGAAUAUUUGUUGUAUCAUGGAGCUGAUCUUAAUAUUUCUAUUAAAGUUUAUCAAACUUUGCUUAGACUUGCUGUUUAUGAUAUGAAUAAAGAUAUGGUUGAGUUGCUGUUGAAUUGGAAUGCAAACAUUAAUGCAGAAGACAAAGACGACGAAACUCCCUUACUCAUAGCCACAGAUAGUCCACGUUAUGAAGAUCUACCAGGAUGUGAAAAAAUGCAUCAAAUAACUGAUAGCCUUAUCAUGUAUAUUGCUAAACAGGUAUCUGAGAAUAGACAUGUGAGUGAACAAAAUUUAAUUUUGAUUGAGCAACAAUGGCGCCUACAAUUGUUUUUUGAACAAUGCUUAAUAGAGCUUAUUAAUAUGAAAAGUAAAAAAAUGUAUGAGAAUAUAUCUUAUUAUGAUAUAUUGACUAAGAGUACAAAUGCAAUGGUUUCUUAUGCAAGGAAUAAAAAUAUAGCAAGUGCCUUUGAGUCCAGUGAUUACACAAAUGCCUUCCCAAUAUAUUCUUCAAUGAUGCAGGAAAACUAUGAAAGAGGAAAAGUCAAGAAACAAUUACUGGAAGUCGGCAUGAUUGCCUUGAAAUUUCUCUUUAAGAAUAACGAAGAAUUACAAGUGCCAGUUGAGUUGCCUUAUGUAGUUAGUAGAGAAAUUCUAAGUUACUUAAAUUUAAAGGAUUUGAGGAUUUUAUCUGCAGUUUACCAAAAAUCGCCAAUUAAGAUUAGCAGAUGAUUAAUGCAAACAUUUGUAAUUUUAUAUUGAUUAUUAUUAUUUCUCUUUAGUUAUAAUGUAAAAAAUCAAACGUUAUAAAAGUUUAAAAUUUUAGAAAAAUUUGUAAGCAUUUAGAUAAAUGUAACUUGAAAAAUGAAGUUUAUAUGUAUUGUGAUAUAAAAUUAAUUUCUUUCUUACAUAAAAAGUUAAUUUUUCUAAUCAUAUUUAGGAAUAGUACAUUACGAUAUAAGUGCCGGAAAGUAGAUUUCCGGUUUGCGUCGUGGUGACGCCCGAGCGAAACGAGGAUGAAAAGACACGAGAUGAGGAAUUUUUUUCCGAACAUGUGAUGUACCGUAUUUUUUUUACGACGUGUGAAAAGUACGAUUUUCAACGCACGUUUUUGAUCGAGCAUGCAGAAAGUACAUGCUUUUUGCACAGAGUGUCAGAAAUAUUAUUUUAAUAUUUUAAGCUCAACUGUGCAUAAGGCAAAAUAUUUCAAUUUACUUUUUAAAGUAAGAAUGACUGUCAAACCCAAUAUAACACUAUUUUAUAAGAUUUAAAAAAAUUUAACUAAUUGUAUGAUAAUCGUUAAAUUUGCUGUUAUUAGUGUUAUUACCAUAGAUAUUACUGCUUUUCUAACACGUAUUUAUUCACGCGUUAUUAUACAUAAAGCAUUAUUGAAUAAAUUAAGAAAAAUAUAUUUUCUGUUGAUUAUGAUAGAUGUAAGCUUUGUAUAAAUGUAAAAAUUCUAAUUUAUUUAACUGUUGUUGACGAAAUUAGAUAAUUUUUAGUAUUUUAGAAUGCCUAUAUAUUCAACUCAAAAAUUUUUGUCUAUUUUCUAAUGGGUUGCUAUAGCAACGCAUAGUGCGUUGUGUCAAAACAAAACAUGUAGAUGAUGUAUGAUCGUAAUGUGUAAAGAAAAUACAAUUGAAUAUAUAUUCAAAUAAUAAUGAGUACUUUUAUACAUAAUAUACAAAUUAAAGAUGGCGAAUAUACUAAAAUAAUAUAUAUGAUGGUAAUAUUUUUUGAGAACAUUUGUAACAUAGUACAAAAAAAACUACUUAAUUCAAACAAUUGUUUAUUUUUCUGUAGAUCAAAGAGCAGCGAUAUAUCGAAACAAUUCAUGUAUUGACUGUACUUUUUGAUUCCUAUUCGAACUCUCAACCGUGCCUAUCUCUCUUAGCCUACUGUUACUUUUAUACUCAAGAUUUUUUAGCAGCAGCAAGUUGUUACGAGAAGC